GCCCGGAUGGCGAAGUUGGUAGACGCAGCGGACUUAAACUCCGCCGCCCUUGAAAGAGGGCGUGCCGGUUCGACCCCGGUUCCGGGCACCA
This 91-nucleotide transfer RNA is filed under the name Rubrivivax sp. Its description in RNAcentral is "tRNA-Leu". It matches the Rfam family "tRNA". Rfam says of the family: Transfer RNA (tRNA) molecules are approximately 80 nucleotides in length. Their secondary structure includes four short double-helical elements and three loops (D, anti-codon, and T loops). Lineage: Bacteria; Pseudomonadati; Pseudomonadota; Betaproteobacteria; Burkholderiales; Sphaerotilaceae. The record is from RNAcentral.